RNAcentral lists this ribosomal RNA (374 nucleotides) under uncultured bacterium. Its description in RNAcentral is "bacterial SSU rRNA". It matches the Rfam family "Bacterial small subunit ribosomal RNA", at positions 525 to 896 of the family's 1533-position model. The record is from RNAcentral.
ACGUAGGAGGCGAGCGUUAUCCGGAUUUAUUGGGCGUAAAGCGCAUGCAGGCUGUUUUCUAAGUCGGACGUGAAAGCUCCUGGCUCAACUAGGAGAGGUUGUUCGAAACUGGAAGACUUGAGGAUGGUAGAGGUGAGUGGAAUUCCCGGUGUAGUGGUGAAAUGCGUAGAUAUCGGGAGGAACACCAGUGGCGAAAGCGGCUCACUGGGCCAUACCUGACGCUCAGAUGCGAAAGCUAGGGGGGAGAACGGGAUUAGAAACCCCGGUAUUCCUAGCCGUAAACGAUGUCAACUAGGCGUAGGAGGUUAUUGACCCCUUCUGUGCUGUAGCUAACGCGUUAAGUUGACCGCCUGGGGACUACGGCCGCAAGGCUA